CUUUUUCUUGGUGCACUUGUCUAUGUCCAGCUGCACAACAAGAUGAGACUGGUCAUUGUCAUUUUCUGAGCUGUGAACGGGCAGGAAGCUGCACUACAAGAUGAGGCUGGUCAUUGUCAUUUUCUGAGCUGUGAACGGGCAGGAAGCUGCACAACAUGAUAAGGCUGGUCAUUGUCAUUUUCUGAGCUGUGAACGGGCAGGAAGCUGCACAACAAGAUGAGACUGGUCAUUGUCAUUUUCUGAGCUGUGAACGGGCAGGAAGCUGCACUACAAGAUGAGGCUGGUCAUUGUCAUUUUCUGAGCUGUGAACGGGCAGGAAGCUGCACAACAUGAUAAGGCUGGUCAUUGUCAUUUUCUGAGCUGUGAACGGGCAGGAAGCUACACAUUGAGAUGAGGAUGGUCAUUGUCAUUUUCUGAGCUGCGAACGGGCAGAAAGCUAGAAAAGGAUAUGACGAUGGUCAUUGUCAUUUCCUGAGCUGUGAACGGGCAGAAAGCUUACCUGUGCAAAUUGUGUCAUCUGCCAUUCCCUUCAAGCUUCGAUGAACGUGGCUUCAUAGCAUGUUUGCACACUCUUGCCAAAUCACAAUAACCCUAACUGCGGCGUGACAGAAAGCUACGGAUGUACAUAUCCGGUAGCAGCUCAAACAAUGCAGCAGCCAGCAUUCUGCUGGUAUAUGCGAGCGACGGUUGCUGUUGGAAUUGUCCUGAGCAGAGAAUCGCUUUCCUGAGCUUAGUGACCUACCGUGUAUCACAUGAUCAGUACAGCCGCUAGACCUGUGUUGACGGAUGCAGGAGUUCACCUGCCAAGUUGUCACUAUAGAUCUUUGAGGGUAUCAUGGAUAUGGAUCCUGCUCCUGCAACAUUGCCCGCGUUGAUGGCCGCUUAGUAGCAGGCCAGUAGCUACCCCAGCAGAUAUAGCAGCUGAGCCCACCAUCGCUAACACUGCAACGGACACAGAAGUAAGAGCAGCUGCCAUUGCAGCUAGCACUGGAGCAGACACAGCGGCAAGAGAAGUUGCCAUGGCAGCAACACACUCUGCAUCUGCUGCACCAGACACUGAGUGCAUUAGUUUGAAAACCAGUGGACACACUGCUCACAGCAGCAAUGCCAAGCAUCAGUCAGAGUGGCUCAGUCUUCAGCAGCAGCAGCAGCAGCAGCCUGCAGUGCACUUUACAAAGUGAGCACCUUAAAAAAACAAGUACUAGUAAUCUGAUUUAUUUCGAAUAUGAUUAUUAUUGAAAAAAACGAGCGCGUACUCGAAUCCAAUAUUCGGUAUAAUUGUCUCACCCCUAACGAUAAAUAAAUCCAGCAAGUGAAGCCAUUGCCCACAAGAAUUGGGCAUUUUCUAUACAGCAUACGCCCCAGCAGCGAAUCAUCCAGGAACAGAAUGUCCUCCAUUGCAUCUUCAUUGUUGUUUUACAUGGUACAUGCAUUUACCACAGAAAUCUUCAGUUUCAGAGCAGCAGUCAGUAGAUAUUGAAAUGAAGACUGUUCGGUGAACAUGAUCUCAGUGCCAACUUUCACCCCUAUUUAUCAUACUUGUUUUUAAUGUCCUGUAUUGAUAUCUACAGCGU
Molecule: long non-coding RNA, 1574 nt
Organism: Sycon ciliatum
Lineage: Eukaryota; Metazoa; Porifera; Calcarea; Leucosolenida; Sycettidae
Exons: 9
Source: RefSeq, a predicted model, not a curated record